Molecule: ribosomal RNA, 301 nt
Filed under: uncultured bacterium
Lineage: Bacteria
Description: partial 16S ribosomal RNA
Rfam family: Bacterial small subunit ribosomal RNA
Source: RNAcentral
CAGCAGCCGCGGGAAUACGAAGGGUGCAAGCGUUACUCGGAAUUACUGGGCGUAAAGCGUGCGUAGGUGGUUGUUUAAGUCUGCUGUGAAAGCCCUGGGCUCAACCUGGGAAUUGCAGUGGAUACUGGGCAACUAGAGUAAGGUAGAGGAUAGUGGAAUUUCCGGUGUAGCAGUGAAAUGCGUAGAGAUCGGAAGGAACAUCUGUGGCGAAGGCGACUAUCUGGGCCAUUACUGACACUGAGGCACGAAAGCGUGGGGAGCAAACAGGAUUAGAUACCCGCGUAGUCCCUGUCUCUUAUAC